RNAcentral lists this ribosomal RNA (449 nucleotides) under uncultured bacterium. RNAcentral describes it as "SSU rRNA". It matches the Rfam family "Bacterial small subunit ribosomal RNA", at positions 26 to 518 of the family's 1533-position model. The record is from RNAcentral.
AGAGCGAACGCUGGCGGCAGGCUUAACACAUGCAAGUCGAGCGGGCGUAGCAAUACGUCAGCGGCAGACGGGUGAGUAACGCGUGGGAACGUACCUUUUGGUUCGGAACAACACAGGGAAACUUGUGCUAAUACCGGAUAAGCCCUUACGGGGAAAGAUUUAUCGCCAAAAGAUCGGCCCGCGUCUGAUUAGCUAGUUGGUGAGGUAACGGCUCACCAAGGCGACGAUCAGUAGCUGGUCUGAGAGGAUGAUCAGCCACAUUGGGACUGAGACACGGCCCAAACUCCUACGGGAGGCAGCAGUGGGGAAUAUUGGACAAUGGGCGCAAAGCCUGAUCCAGCCAUGCCGCGUGAGUGAUGAAGGCCCUAGGGUUGUAAAGCUCUUUUGUGCGGGAAGAUAAUGACGGUACCGCAAGAAUAAGCCCCGGCUAACUUCGCGCCAGCAGCCGC